RNAcentral lists this long non-coding RNA (640 nucleotides) under Ovis aries (sheep). Its description in RNAcentral is "lncRNA (ENSOARG00000026503.1)". Lineage: Eukaryota; Metazoa; Chordata; Mammalia; Artiodactyla; Bovidae. The record is from RNAcentral.
AUGCGGGCAGUGUCCCCCAGACAGCCAAGGGGCUCCCCUUCCUCGCAGACCCAGCCUUCACCCUCCCUGCGUCUGUCUUCCCCAGUGGUGGACUGGCCUGAGUCAGCAAUCCCGCCCUCCAUGCUCUCAGGCCAUGACAGUUUUCUCAUCCUGCUCAAUGCCUGGGCCCUCUGGGCACUCAAGAAACUCAGUGUCCAGAUGGCACGGGCCGGCGUGCACCCAACUCAAGGAACACCCCAGAGCAGAAGCUCGGGGGCCACCAGUGUCCCCGGAGCCUGGGCUUCAGGGAAGCUACUUCUCCUGGCAGUCGCCCCGCCUGCCUCCCCUGGCGGCUGGCCAGCCUCGGGCAGUGUGGCUCCCUCCCCCUGGAGGAGAGCCCAAGCUCAAGACACAGCAGCAGCAGCAGCCGCAGUGGCAGCAACAGACCUGGCAACCCGGUGCCUCCUGGCCCCUCAGCACCAGUGACUCACGCCAGCCUGGAGAGGGACAGAGCCCCGUGCAAUGACUCACCCAUGGCAGGCGGCAGGUCCCCUGGGGCCUGAGUCCUCCAGCCCGGCUGAGGCAGCAGCCGGCCUCUGGGGCCCGGAGAGUGAUGACAGGUAAACAGGGGACCCCGCCCCCCGCCGUCCUCCCCCCCUGU